RNAcentral lists this ribosomal RNA (318 nucleotides) under uncultured bacterium. RNAcentral's name for it is "bacterial SSU rRNA". It matches the Rfam family "Bacterial small subunit ribosomal RNA", at positions 1194 to 1511 of the family's 1533-position model. The record is from RNAcentral.
CAUGGCCCUUACGAGUAGGGCUACACACGUGCUACAAUGGCGAGUACAGAGGGUUGCAAAGCCGCGAGGUGGAGCUAAUCUCACAAAGCUCGUCGUAGUCCGGACUGGAGUCUGCAACUCGACUCCAUGAAGUCGGAAUCGCUAGUAAUCGUGAAUCAGAAUGUCACGGUGAAUACGUUCCCGGGCCUUGUACACACCGCCCGUCACACCAUGGGAGUGGGCUGCAAAAGAAGUGGGUAGUUUAACCUUCGGGAGAACGCUCACCACUUUGUGGUUCAUGACUGGGGUGAAGUCGUAACAAGGAACCUUAAUUAAAAA